Molecule: ribosomal RNA, 274 nt
Filed under: uncultured bacterium
Lineage: Bacteria
Description: partial 16S ribosomal RNA
Rfam family: Bacterial small subunit ribosomal RNA
Source: RNAcentral
AUACGGAGGGUGCAAGCGUUACUCGGAAUCACUGGGCGUAAAGCGCGCGCAGGCGGGCUGAUAAGUUGGAUGUGAAAGCCUACGGCUCAACCGUAGAACUGCAUCCAAAACUGUCAGUCUAGAGUGUGGGAGAGGAAGAUGGAAUUAGUUGUGUAGGGGUAAAAUCCGUAGAGAUAACUAGGAAUACCAAAAGCGAAGGCAAUCUUCUGGAACACUGCUGACGCUGAGGCGCGAAGGCGUGGGGAGCAAACAGGAUUAGAAACCCCUGUAGUCC